This 208-nucleotide ribosomal RNA is filed under the name uncultured bacterium. Its description in RNAcentral is "partial 16S ribosomal RNA". It matches the Rfam family "Bacterial small subunit ribosomal RNA", at positions 524 to 729 of the family's 1533-position model. The record is from RNAcentral.
UACGUAGGGGUGCGAGCGUUAAUCGGAAUUACUGGGCGUAAAGCGUGCGCAGGCUGUUCUGUAAGUCAGAUGUGAAAUCCCCGAGCUCAACUUGGGAACUGCGUUUGAAACUACAGGACUAGAAUAUGUCAGAGGGGGGUAGAAUUCCACGUGUAGCAGUGAAAUGCGUAGAGAUGUGGAGGAAUACCAAUGGCGUAAGGCAGCCCCC